UCCGUAGGUGAACCUGCGGAGGGAUCAUUACUGAGUACUACACUCUCUACCCUUUGUGACUAUUAUACCUGUUGCUUCGGCGGCGCCCGCGAGGGUGCCCGCCGGUCUCAUCAGAAUCUCUGUUUUCGAACCCGACGAUACUUCUGAGUGUUCUUAGCGAACUGUCAAAACUUUUAACAACGGAUCUCUUGGCUCCAGCAUCGAUGAAGAACGCAGCGAAACGCGAUAUGUAAUGUGAAUUGCAGAAUUCAGUGAAUCAUCGAAUCUUUGAACGCACAUGGCGCCUUCCAGUAUCCUGGGAGGCAUGCCUGUCCGAGCGUCGUUUCAACCCUCGAGCCCCCGUGGCCCGGCGUUGGGGAUCUGCCACGGCAGGCCCCUAAAACCAGUGGCGGACCCGAAGGCCCUCUCCUUUGCGCAGUAGCAUCAGCCUCGCAUUGGGAUCCCUCGGCGUCCUGCCUCUAAACCCCCCACAAGUCCGCUCCGGCGGCACCAAGGUUGACCUCGGAUCAGGUAGGAAUACCCGCUGAACUUAAGCAUAUCAAUAAGCGGAGGA
Molecule: ribosomal RNA, 553 nt
Filed under: Plectosphaerella sp. RP01
Lineage: Eukaryota; Fungi; Ascomycota; Sordariomycetes; Glomerellales; Plectosphaerellaceae
Description: eukaryotic LSU rRNA
Rfam family: 5.8S ribosomal RNA (bases 169-322)
Source: RNAcentral